AACGCAUAUUGCGCCCUUUGGCAUUCCGAAGGGCAUGCCUGUUCGAGCGUCAUUAUCAACCAUCAAGCCUGGCUUGUCGUUGGACCCCUUUUUACCGCUGAAAUAUGUGGUAGGUCCGAAAGAUAAUGACGGCGUCGUGUUUGACCCUAGAUGCAACGAGCUUUUUAUAGCACGCAUUGAAGUGGUCGGCCGACCCGGUCUUUAACCAUCAUUUUCUAAGGUUGACCUCGGAUCAGGUAGGAAUACCCGCUGAACUUAA
Molecule: unclassified non-coding RNA, 259 nt
Filed under: uncultured fungus
Lineage: Eukaryota; Fungi
Description: partial contains 5.8S ribosomal RNA, internal transcribed spacer 2, and large subunit ribosomal RNA
Source: RNAcentral